AAAGAAGGACGGCACAUGCGACCCGCAAUGGACGAAAAAGAGCGGCGGGUCGCCGAUACACGUCUCUGUUUGUGUUUUUUUUGCUGUCGGUGUUCAAGUUGAGGGAAAAACAGAGGGCUCUGGUCGGCGUGCGAGCGGGUCCGACAGUCGUUCUAUCGCUUGCUGUAGCGUGUAGCGCCACGCCCAGUCGACAUCGCUCGACGCCGCCAAUGCCGCGGUGCAAUCCGCCGCGAGGCCAAACAGGUCGCCCCUGGCAUCGGGCGACACCUGCGACGAGCAUGGGUCGACGGCGGUGUGCGCGUCCAGGCGGCACGCGCCGACGCGCCAGAGAAAGAGGCCGACGACGCGUCGCGCAAUCUCGUACGUUGUCGCGGUGUGCUGCCUCGCAAUGGCAUCGUGCACAAAUCCGCCAAAGAGGCGGCGCACGGCUUCGGCCUCGAUAGCCGGCCAUCCCGCGUCGACAUGGCACGACGCGACAUUGUGGGCGGGACGGCGUGGCACGACGCUAUGCUCGGGCAUAACAACGACGCCCAGACCGUGGGCGCGCAUCAGCAGUACGGUGAUCACGUGUGCGACGACGGGCAGGGCGCGCUCCAUGUCAUCGCCGUCGCGUUCGGUCCAUACGCGCACCGCAAGGGCCUCGGCCGAUUCGUCGGCGCACGCGUGACCGCCCCCGUGACGCAUAUGCUCGACGAGCAGACUGACACAAAGGACCAUGAGCCUUGCGUCGCCGCCCGUCGCCGCCGCCAACACAGCCUCGGCAAACACCAUCGGGUGCAGCGGCCAGCCGCCGAGACGCACGCGCGCCCACGCCUCGGCCAAUCGUCGGCGCGUUCUGCUCCAUCGUGUGGGUUGGCACGCGAAAGCGCUCAAGGGCGGGGUCACGCGUAACACGACCCCGCCGGAUGGCGAGAUCGCCAAGGUGUGAUCGCCGUUUGUCUUUGCGUGUACCCACGGCCUCAAUGCCGCCGACGUGUGAAAGGAGAGAGCGCGUUCGGCGGCGAGCCGCUUUGCGAGAUAUUGCGGGCCACACAGCAGUGCGAGGUACGGAACGCGCGCCGUUGAGCCCAGGGCCACCAGGUCUGGCAGAGAGAGACGCGCGACCAAGGCAUCGGCCACCGGAGGAUGAUGCCACAAGAGGGCCUGCAGACCGACGGCAGCGCGGGAGGCCGAACAAACCGGCGGCGACGGCGGCGACAAAUGUGAGCGUGCCGUGUGGUGCAUCGAUGACCGUAGUUUGGCGUCGGGUGGUGGCUUGUGUGUUUCUUCCUCCUCUCUUUUCGCCUCUGACACGCGUGAUCCGCUCCCCCCCCCCAAAGCCAAAAGAGCGCGUUCUACCACGACGAUGCGAUGCGAGGGAAGACAGAAGGCAAACACACACAAAAAGGGCGCGUAAGGUCUGGCGGCAAUCUACGUCGACAAGGCGCCGGGCGGGCGUUUUCUGUCUUUCUGAUGGGGCGACGCAUAAGAGAGACACACACGGACCCCAUUUUUUUGAUCCUUGUCGUCGGUCUCUUUCGGGUGUGGCUUUUCGCCCGUGCGCCAAAUGCAUGCCCCUUUUUGCUGGGGCAAUUCACCACAGGAAAAAACCGG
This 1593-nucleotide long non-coding RNA is filed under the name Pandoravirus neocaledonia. Its description in RNAcentral is "hypothetical ncRNA". The record is from RNAcentral.